RNAcentral lists this ribosomal RNA (253 nucleotides) under uncultured bacterium. RNAcentral's name for it is "partial 16S ribosomal RNA". It matches the Rfam family "Bacterial small subunit ribosomal RNA", at positions 524 to 776 of the family's 1533-position model. The record is from RNAcentral.
CACGUAGGGGACGAGCGUUGUCCGGAUUCAUUGGGCGUAAAGCGCGCGUAGGCGGCUCGGAAAGUCGGGCGUGAAAUGCCGGGGCUCAACCCCGGGACUGCGUCCGAUACUGGCAGGCUUGAAUCCGGGAGAGGGACGUGGAAUUCCAGGUGUAGCGGUGAAAUGCAUAGAUAUCUGGAGGAACACCGGUGGCGAAGGCGGCAUCCUGGACCGGUAUUGACGCUGAGGCGCGAAAGCUAGGGGAGCAAACGGG